This 468-nucleotide ribosomal RNA is filed under the name uncultured bacterium. RNAcentral describes it as "partial 16S ribosomal RNA". It matches the Rfam family "Bacterial small subunit ribosomal RNA", at positions 28 to 507 of the family's 1533-position model. The record is from RNAcentral.
GACGAACGCUGGCGGCGUGCUUAACACAUGCAAGUCGAACGGAAAGGCCAUGCUCUUGCGGGGUGCACGAGUGGCGAACGGGUGAGUAACACGUGAGUAACACGCCCCUGACUUUGGGAUAACUUCAGGAAACUGGGGCUAAUACCGGAUAGGAGCUACUGCUGCACGGUGGGGGUUGGAAAGAUUCGGCGGUUGGGGAUGGACUAGCGGCUUAUCAGCUUGUUGGUGAGGUAGUGGCUUACCAAGUUUUUGACGGGUAGCCGGCCUGAGAGGGGGACCAGCCACAUGGGGACUGAGAGACGGCCCAGACUCCUACGGGAGGCAGCAGGGGGGAAUAUUGCACAGUGGGCGGAAGCCAGUGACAGCAGCGCCGCGAGCGUAAUGACGGCCUUCUGGUUAUGAACCGCUUUCGCCUGUGACGAAGCGUGAUUGACGGUAAUGGGUAAAAAAGCACCGGCUAACUACGUG